UGAGGGUAUAUGUAUUGAAGAAAACGGCUAGAAAAAAAGUGAAAUAAGAAGGUAUAGGUAUAGAAAAUGACUGAUGAGGUGUUAAAUAUGAUAAAAUAAACAUUUUCUCAGACAACUCCAUUUUCAAUUUUUCUCUCCUUCCUCUCUUUCACGCCACUCCACUUGGGGGGAGGGGGGUAAGCAUCACAGUCACAUUUAGUGUGUAAAAAUGAGGGUAGUUCAUUGGAUGUGAAAAUUGAAAUUUAUGCAUUUGCGGAGCAGCUGAAUUACCCCCAUUCGCCCCAGUGGUUUUGGGGAGGCAUAUUUGCAAUUUCCGCAUAGUAACAGGCAAGUUAAUGACUUUCUGCAUUUAACAUGAGCAAACGCACGUAUAUCGUUGCCUUGUAGUCAUGUCAUAUGGUAUGAAAAUGGUCACUGCAGACUCAGUGGCGAACACGUUGGCGUUUUCAUACAUUUCAGCAAUACCCACAUGUAUGUGAGCGCACAGACACAGAGUCUCGCUGAUAUGAAAAUCGCGAAAAUAGCCAUAAAAUGAAAAACACAGUCAUUCACCAGAUAAUGUAUCACGAAAUCAAAUUUGAAAGUGUUGACAUUGAAUGAAACUCCUCAAUCAUAUCGCAAAUUGCUAAUUCUUCUAUAUGUACAUUAUAUAUACCUAUAAAUUGCCCGUCCCCAUUGAAAGUAUUACAUAUUUACGUACAUAAAACUUUGAGACAUCAAGAGAGGGUUGUUUCAUCAUCUCGGAACUGAAUUUAUUUAAUAUUAAAUGAAAUAAAUUAUCAACGGAAAGUCCAUGGCAAUAGAACAUUUAGAGGUGGAGGAUAAAUAGAACAUAAGUCUAUACAAUUAUAUGUAGUCAAAUGUACCCAGUAAAGUGGGCUGUGGAGUCCACAAGUACUCCAGGGUGUGGAGUGCGUCCACUGUAGCUGCACAGUGGGCGUAUUUCCUGCAGUAACUCCACAGUGGGUGCACAGUAUAUCCACAGUAGUCUUAUUUCCAAAGUCCACCGUGAAUACAGAAUGCGGAACUACAAAUGCAUCACCGUGGAUCCAGAUCCUGGAUUCAAAAGUGCACAUCCUAGAUCCACUGUAACUCCACAGUCUGACUAGGAUCUGCACUUAUUUUUAAUAAUUUGGCCAAAAAAUUUUGGGUGUCCGUGGGAAAAGUUUUGAAAUCUUCCCGGAAACAUUGCUUCCUCUACUUGUUAAUGCCAAAGUGGCCAAGAGAUUGGAAAUCUUAUCAGAGAACUUUCAUCUCCUAGCUAUUCUGGGUAUCCGUGGGAAUCUUUGAAAAAAUCUUUCCGGGAACAUUGCUUCCGCCACUUUUUGAUGCCAAAGUGGCCAAGAGAUUUCAGAUCUGGUCACAGAACUUUCAUCUCCUGGCCAUUCUGGGUAUCUGUGGAAAAAGUUUCGAAAUCUUCCCGGAAACAUUGCUUCAUCCACUUUUUAAUGCCAAAAUGACCAAGAGAUUUCAGAUCUGGUCACAGAACUUUCAUCUCCUGGAUAUUCUGGGUAUCUGUGGAAAAAGUUUCGAAAUCUUCCCGGAAACAUUGCUUCAUCCACUUUUUAAUGCCAAAAUGACCAAGAGAUUUCAGAUCUGAUCACAGAACUUUCAUCUCCUGGCCAUUCUGGGUAUCCGUGGGAAUUAAAAAAAAAUCUUUCCGGAAACAUUGCUUCCUUCAUUUUCUAAUGCCAGAGUGGCCAAGAGAUUUCAAAUCUGGUCACAGAACUUUCAUCUCUUGGCCACUUUGGGUAUCUGUGAAAAAAGUUACGAAAUCUUCCCGGAAACAUUGCUUCCUCCACUUUUUAAUGCCAAAAUCUUUCCGGAAACAUUGCUUCCUUCAUUUUCUCAUGCCAGAAUGGCCAAGAGAUUUCAAAUCUGGUCACAGAACUUUCAUCUCUUGGCCACUUUGGGUAUCCCUCGGAAAUUUUUUUUAGUGUUUCCGCCAAAUAUCUGCGCGGCGCUAGUGUUUGUGGAAAAAAGUGCAAAAAUGGUGGAAUGCUGACGCUGUGAUGGAAAUUCUCAAUUUUUGGUGGAAAAAAGCAUUGUAAGUAUGUUUUUCUUCUAUUAUCUUGUGAAUAAAAGGUGAUAGAAUGAUUGCGUGGUGGAGGAUAAACUAGUAUCCAAGGUAUUUUCAUGAAAAUCCUAAUAUUUUUUCUCAUAUUUUUAGGUUAUGUUUUUUUUUCUUCUUCCCGGACGUCCCUGACUGUAAAACAACACCAAAGUACUCCGGAAAGUACUAAUUAUCAUAUUACAAGCGUAAUGCCGUACAUGAAUCUCAAUCCGGCAGACAGGCCGCGGCAUCAGCUGCGCGCAAUCACCAUCGACUUCUUCCGUACAAAGUGAUGAAGACAAAUCCUGAAUAUGCCGCCCUUGUGGACUUUAUUAUGCUCUGGCUGGAGGAGCACAAAGCACACAAUCCCGAUUACAAGGGCAUCAUUAUGCUCUACCAUUAGCAACGAAAAUUUGUGCCCUACGUCCUCCUGGAAGCGCUCAAGAAGUACGACAUGCUCCCACACUUCAAAACCUCCAUUGUUAGGCUUCACAAGUGUCUACCCAUUGCAUUGGCUAAGAAUGAAUGUGGGGUAACUUUGAAGUCUUUCACCCUAAGAAACUCAAACAGAUCAUCUUGAAAUGCGAUGAAGAUGACAGGAAUAAGUUUGAGGGUAGUACCAAUAUACGCUCAAAAAUAGCCUAUGAUGUGUUGAAGAUGUUGGUAAAUAAACCAUCUCCAGCUUCUGUUGAGGUGAAGAAGCAAGAUAUUGAAGCUGCUGCGGUGCAGCAACCGGAAGCAGCUGUUCAGCAGAAUUACAAAAGCAGGAGAGUUAAGAGCAAAAGCCGGAGCAAACGGAGCAACAAGUUGAGGAAGAAGGAGAACGUAAUAAGGUAAAGGAAGCUGCUCAGGAGGUUGUUGAAACGCUCUUUGUACCUGAGAUGCAGAAAGAAGAAGCCAAACCGGCUGUUAUGCCAGUUGUGAAGCAAGCAACAACGGAGAAGGAGCGAACAGUUGUCUUCUAUCGUGAUAUCACGGGCAUAGCGACGACAAUUAAGAAGAACCUCCAGGAAUUGGGUGGGCAGCAAACAAUUCUGGACAGGCUGAAUUCUCUAAGGAGAAUUAUUGUUGAUUACUUCAAGACUAUUCUCUAUACCAUCGUGUGAAGGGUGUUACCUUUCGACGUUUCCUGACGAAACAGGGCUUCGAUAUGAGAAAGUUGCAGGACUUGCAGGACAUCUGAGGGAAGGAGAAGCGCGAUGGCAUCAGGGUGGCCGUUGCGGGACUGCGGGAACUCAAGGAGGAUAUCACGAAGGAGUUAACGGAUCUCCUUGAUUGUCAUUUUGAUUCAGAGAAGCAGCUAAUUAUGCUACUGUCCCGGAAGACCAACAAGAGGCUCUUUCAGAAGAGACAAACUUCGAGAAUUUCAUCGAGAACGCGAAAUAUUCAAAAGGGAAAUAAUCAACAGAAAGACAAUCAGCAGCAUCACAAUGGUGAAAAAAAAAGAUCUUUUUUUAAAUAAAAAAAAUUUUCUGUGUAAAGAAUUUUUGGUAACUUAGAGGAGAAAGAAAAAAAUCCUUUAAGAAAAAUUUAUUGAUUAAUUUGUUGAGAAACUGAAAAUUCUCUUUUUUAAAGUAAUUCUUGAAAAAAGAUUUUUUUCUGUGUAAAGAAUUUUUGGUAACUUAGAGGAGAAAGAAAAGAAUCUUUUAAUAACAAUUAAUUGAUUUAUUUGUUGAGAAACUGGAAAUUCGCUUUUUUAAAGUAAUUCUUGAAAAAAGAAGAUUUUUUUCUGUGUAAAGAAUUUUUGGUAACAGGAGAAAGAAAAAAAAUCCUUUAAUAACAAUUUAUUGAUUGAUUUGUUGAGAAACUGGAAAUUCGCUUUUUUAAAGUAAUUCUUGAAAAAAGAAGAUUUUUUUCUGUGUAAAGAAUUUUUGGUAACAGGAGAAAGAAAAAAAAUCCUUUAAUAACAAUUUAUUGAUUGAUUUGUUGAGAAACUGGAAAUUCGCUUUUUUAAAGUAAUUCUUGAAAAAAGAUUUUUUUCUGUGUAAAGAAUUUUUGGUAACUUAGAGGAGAAAGAAAAGAAUCUUUUAAUAACAAUUAAUUGAUUUAUUUGUUGAGAAACUGGAAAUUCUCUUUUUUAAAGUAAUUCUUGAAAAAAGAUUUUUUUCUGUGUAAAGAAUUUUUGGUAACUUAGAGGAGAAAGAAAAGAAUCUUUUAAUAACAAUUAAUUGAUUUAUUUGUUGAGAAACUGGAAAUUCGCUUUUUUAAAGUAAUUCUUGAAAAAAGAAGAUUUUUUUCUGUGUAAAGAAUUUUUGGUAACAGGAGAAAGAAAAAAAAUCCUUUAAUAACAAUUUAUUGAUUGAUUUGUUGAGAAACUGGAAAUUCGCUUUUUUAAAGUAAUUCUUGAAAAAAGAAGAUUUUUUUCUGUGUAAAGAAUUUUUGGUAACAGGAGAAAGAAAAAAAAUCCUUUAAUAACAAUUUAUUGAUUGAUUUGUUGAGAAACUGGAAAUUCGCUUUUUUAAAGUAAUUCUUGAAAAAAGAUUUUUUUCUGUGUAAAGAAUUUUUGGUAACUUAGAGGAGAAAGAAAAAAAUCCUUUAAGAACAAUUAAUUGAUUUAUUUAUUGAGAAACUGGAAAUUCGCUUUUUUAAAGUAAUUCUUGAAAAAAGAUUUUUUUCUGUGUAAAGAAUUUUUGGUAACAGGAGAAAGAAAAAAAAUCCUUUAAUAACAAUUUAUUGAUUGAUUUGUUGAGAAACUGGAAAUUCGCUUUUUUAAAGUAAUUCUUGAAAAAAGAAGAUUUUUUUCUGUGUAAAGAAUUUUUGGUAACAGGAGAAAGAAAAAAAAUCCUUUAAUAACAAUUUAUUGAUUGAUUUGUUGAGAAACUGGAAAUUCGCUUUUUUAAAGUAAUUCUUGAAAAAAGAAGAUUUUUUUCUGUGUAAAGAAUUUUUGGUAACAGGAGAAAGAAAAAAAAUCCUUUAAUAACAAUUUAUUGAUUGAUUUGUUGAGAAACUGGAAAUUCGCUUUUUUAAAGUAAUUCUUGAAAAAAGAUUUUUUUCUGUGUAAAGAAUUUUUAGUAACUUAGAGGAGAAAGAAAAAAAUCCUUUAAGAACAA
This is a long non-coding RNA of Lutzomyia longipalpis, 5103 nucleotides long. RefSeq lists it as uncharacterized. Lineage: Eukaryota; Metazoa; Arthropoda; Insecta; Diptera; Psychodidae. The transcript has 3 exons. The record is from RefSeq and is a predicted model, not a curated record.